CCUACGGGGGGCUGCAGUGGGGAAUAUUGCACAAUGGGGGAAACCCUGAUGCAGCGACGCCGCGUGAGUGAAGAAGUAUUUCGGUAUGUAAAGCUCUAUCAGCAGGGAAGAAAUAAAGUCCUUCGGACUUUGGACGGUACCUGACUAAGAAGCCCCGGCUAACUACGUGCCAGCAGCCGCGGUAAUACGUAGGGGGCAAGCGUUAUCCGGAUUUACUGGGUGUAAAGGGAGCGUAGACGGCAGCGCAAGUCUGGAGUGAAAUCCCAUGGCUUAACCAUGGAACUGCUUUGGAAACUGUGCAGCUGGAGUGCAGGAGAGGUAAGCGGAAUUCCUAGUGUAGCGGUGAAAUGCGUAGAUAUUAGGAGGAACACCAGUGGCGAAGGCGGCUCACUGGACUGUAACUGACGUUGAGGCUCGAAAGCGUGGGGAGCAAACAGGAUUAGAUACCCUUGUAGUC
This 457-nucleotide ribosomal RNA is filed under the name uncultured bacterium. RNAcentral describes it as "partial 16S ribosomal RNA". It matches the Rfam family "Bacterial small subunit ribosomal RNA", at positions 338 to 795 of the family's 1533-position model. The record is from RNAcentral.